This 500-nucleotide ribosomal RNA is filed under the name uncultured bacterium. RNAcentral's name for it is "bacterial SSU rRNA". It matches the Rfam family "Bacterial small subunit ribosomal RNA", at positions 8 to 524 of the family's 1533-position model. The record is from RNAcentral.
AGAGUUUGAUCCUGGCUCAGGACGAACGCUGGCGGCGUGCUUAACACAUGCAAGUCGAGCGAUGAAGCACCUUCGGGUGUGAAUUAGCGGCGAACGGGUGAGGAACACGUGAAGAAUCUGCCUUCAACUCUGGGAUAACUCCGGGAAACCGGGGCUAAUACCGGAUAUGAGCCUUGAUCGCAUGAUCGGGGCUGGAAAGUUUUUCGGUUGAAGAUGACUUCGCGGCCUAUCAGCUUGUUGGUGAGGUAAUGGCUCACCAAGGCGACGACGGGUAGCCGGCCUGAGAGGGCGACCGGCCACACUGGGACUGAGACACGGCCCAGACUCCUACGGGAGGCAGCAGUGGGGAAUAUUGGGCAAUGGAGGAAACUCUGACCCAGCGACGCCGCGUGAGGGAUGAAGGCCUUCGGGUUGUAAACCUCUUUCAGUAGGGAAGAAGCGAAAGUGACGGUACCUACAGAAGAAGCACCGGCUAACUAUGUGCCAGCAGCCGCGGUAAU